RNAcentral lists this ribosomal RNA (342 nucleotides) under Wolbachia sp. Its description in RNAcentral is "bacterial SSU rRNA". It matches the Rfam family "Bacterial small subunit ribosomal RNA", at positions 1039 to 1380 of the family's 1533-position model. The record is from RNAcentral. Lineage: Bacteria; Pseudomonadati; Pseudomonadota; Alphaproteobacteria; Rickettsiales; Anaplasmataceae.
UGUUGCAUGGCUGUCGUCAGCUCGUGUCGUGAGAUGUUGGGUUAAGUCCCGCAACGAGCGCAACCCUCAUCCUUAGUUGCCACCAGGUAAUGCUGAGUACUUUAAGGAAACUGCUAGUGAUAAGCUGGAGGAAGGUGGGGAUGAUGUCAAGUCAUCAUGGCCUUUAUGGAGUGGGCUACACACGUGCUACAAUGGUGUCUACAGUGGGUUGCAAGGUGCGCAAGCCUAAGCUAAUCCCUAAAAGACAUCUCAGUUCGGAUUGUACUCUGCAACUCGAGUACAUGAAGUUGGAAUCGCUAGUAAUCGUGGAUCAGCAUGCCACGGUGAAUACGUUCUCGGGUC